UAUUUAAUCCUGGAGGUAACAGGAAUCCACUUAAAUAAGGCUAGAAAGGUAAUUGGGCCAAGAUUAUGGAGGACUCAAAUAUAUAGGCAGUGGGAGGUCACUGAAAACUUAUGCAAAAAAGACAAAAGAUAUCAGAAGUGAGCUUUUAGGACUAUUAUGGAAACAGUUUUAUGAAGGAUUGAUUGGAGAAGAGAGAGAUUGGAGAUAGGAGGCAAGAAGACGAAAAUAAUGUGGAUCUCUUAGGACCCUUAGGCUGAUAUUAUAUCCUUCAGGGAGAUUCAUAUGUCUAGUCAGCAUCUAAAUUAUGACUCAAACCCUGGUCUUUUGACUGCAGUUUCAAAGCUCUUUAUAUCUAGCUUCUUAUAACUAUGCUAUUACUUCUAGGAGGAUUUGAUUGUAGGUACUACAGGGAGAGAAAAUGCUUAAAACAAAAGAAAUGACUCAAAUGUUAAAAUUUCAAGCAUACUGUAGUAAGACCUGAAUGAAAAAAGUAUUUUCUUACAUUUCUCAUAUCAUAUUACUGACUUUAAAUAUCUUGUUUCAGUGGGGAAUGGCCAUCUCUAUAUUCUGACACUUUAUAUUUUAAAGUAAAAAUUAGGGGGAAAAUAGAGCCAAUUAUUUCAGGGAAUACAAUUGUGGAAGAAUAUAACUAUGAAUUUUUAUUUUUUUAAGAUAGUAAAUAUUAUGUGGGUCUAAAUUUCUCUUCUACUUUUUAUCAAAAAUAACACAAGCCCUCUAUAAAGGUAAUUAGGUAUCUCUACAAAGUGCAUUACAUUGUGGUGGACUUUUAUUUUCUUCCUUUGGUGUCUUCAGGGUCUGAUCAAAUCCCUGUUGUUUCUUUAAAACCUUGUUCAUUACUGCUAACAUAAUGUUUACAGAUUUUAGAAACAAAGACGAUUUACUUUUUAAUUAUUUUCUUGCUUGUCUCAGGCAAUGUUGUUGUCAAGGAAACCAUAAUCUUUGAAAAGGCUUGUUCUACUUCUUCAGAUUCCCUGGUUGGAAGAGAUUACUUGGAUAGUAUUUAUCUUGGCUGUGGAAACAGACACGUUAUUUUGCAUCAAAAUCCACUUCUUUUAAAAGAGAUUGUGUCCUCUUGUGACUAUAAAUAGAAACUUCUUGACCUUUUAGUGUAAGAUCAAAGGUUCCUGUUGGUAUUUUCCUUUUUAGGGAUUGCUUCUGUGUAUACACACUGUGUGUAAGAGCUGUGAGACUGAUGAAUUCUGAGGGGAAAAUAGUUUUCUUUUUUAAAAAAGAAUAGAAAAAGAGGCUCUCUCUCAAAUGUUUAAAGAACAAAUAGAUAUAUUUUAGACUCUUUGCUCAGUAACACUCAGGAGAUGUUAACAUACUAUACUCAGAGGCAUAGAGGUGUUGCUGGAAUGCUUUGAGUUACAAUCUACUUUUAUUGCAAGAAAGUGUUAUGUUAUUGAGACAUUUAAACAAGUAGCUACAUUGAAAUUUUCUUAUUGUUAAAUUAGGAGAAGAGAGGAAACCAGUAUGAUGUAAUGGAAGGAAUAUUUGACUGAAUACCAGGAGAUCUGGGCUCUGCCACUAGAUUCACUCCUUUUUCAAGGUUAUGGCAGCAAAGCACAAGUUUUGUCAUGUUCUGCCAAGAUGGAAAGAUAUAAGUAUAAACCAGGCACUAGAACAAGUGCAGACUAGCCUGCUUAAAGAUGCAGAAGCUCAUCCCUGGAUGUUGGACUCUGGAUGAUCUUUGUUGGCUACAACUACAUUGACUCUUCAAUCAUAGAGGGGUUGUGCUGUUCUUUGGAAUAGUAAAGCUGUUGCCACGGAAACAGAAACCUAUGAAGAGCUUUGCUCCACUUUGGUUGCCCAUAAAGAAGAUUACUUGAAAUACACAGGAUUCCAGUAUUAGGUAAGCCUCUACAAUAUUACCUCAGAAUUCUUUUUAUAAAAUGCAAACAGAUUAUAGAGUAAAAAAAGUUGUUUUAUUUAUAUAAUCAUUUAUAACUUCAGACUUAAAAAUGUGGUAAACGGAAGGAAAGCGAAGACACACACAUUUAUUAAUCACUUACAAUGUGCCAGGAACUGUACUAAGCAAUGGGGAUAUAAAUGCACAAAAAGAAAGGAGGGGAGGUGCCCUCAAAAAUUAUGAGAGAUAUUAUAAUGAGGGAAGACAAUACACAAAAGGGAACUGAAAUGGGGAGGGGAAGGCAUGAAAAUGUCCAGGGUGAGGCACAUGAUUUUGAGAUCUGGAAGCCAAUAAGGUGGAGAAGGAAUAAAAGCCAACCUACACAAAAUGGAGGCUCCAGGAGGCACUUGCCAGUGGGAGAAAGAAACAGAUCUUCCAUGUUGAGAAGGCCCCAGGAAUGAUUAGAUGGUUCAGGAAAAGAAUGUUCUAGAUGCUAAGAGGAAGUUCUAGGAUGAGAAAACAUACUUUUGAAAGCAUGAAGCCACAAUCGGGGAUCUGGAAGCCAGAAAGAAGGUAAAAUGGUUUUCCUCAAAUUUGAUGAAUGAUCCCAUUAAAUUGGAUAAUGUUAAAUUAAAACACACUAGUUAAAACAGAUACAGUGCUUAAAGGUGCUAGUCACCUUGGUUUGAUUGAUUUUAUUAACGAGUUAUCAAAAAUAAACCAAUUAGGAUUCAGAUGUUUGUUGUUCUCAUCCUUAGACAUCAAAGUUGUUAUCUAUGCUAUCUGAAAUUGAAACUGGUUAAUAUUGACUAAUUAAUCUUUAUAUGCCCUUGCCCAGUGUCUUUCUGAUGGGGGUGUGAAACUGUGUUCCCUUUUGAUCUGUAAAAUUAAUACUCUGAAAUUCUAUCCUAUUUGAUUCCCGGCCUCUCAGACUCCAUAAAGUUUGAGAGAGAGCAUAUCUCCCCAAAUAAGUUAAACAUUAUUCAAUUGAAUAUCUUGGUCAAAAACACUCCAUUGAUCUUUUGGAGGUGCCACUUCAGGAAAUUCCAGGUUCUUGAAAAAGAUCUUGGUCUGAUAAUCAUCUCAAAUUGCUACCAGCUCCCCGCCAAGAUCUUCUCAUAAAGGAGCUGUGCCGACUAAAAGGGGAUUCCCACAACUCUCUGACUGCCACUAGAACCCCAUCAUUUCUUCGGUGCUUUAUUGUGAUGGAGAGAUAUCUCUGGGUUCCCCACAACUGUGCCAAAGGAAUGUAAGCUCCAGCAUUUCCUAUAAAACUCAAUAGUAGAGUAUUUUUUUUGAGUAGCCCUGCUCAAUCUGGAGAAGUUUAUCUUUACCAGAGACUGGACUUCCAGCUGACGACUUUUUUCAACCAUAGCAACUCCAUUACUGUUGUCUCUGGAAGUAUAAGGGGUGAGAUGAUCUGUAUUAUUGGAGUAAGGACCACUCUAAUGAAAUAAUUAGGCUUAAACAGAUAUCAUUCAAAUUUGUGACAUGCUAGUAAUUUCUGGUACUAAUUUAGUGAUGAUGAGAAAGUGCAUUUGAAUUCCUUGGCAUAGAAAGUCAGUAACUAGUGAGUAGCUCUGAAAGGUACACCAGCCUUGGCUUCAUGCCAAAGAUUCAUUCAAACAGCACAUUUAGGCAGGGUUUCUAGUGCUAGUGUUUGGCAACAAACUCUAUCAUUGUGCAUUAAGAAACUCAGAAAGAGGAAAGGAGGAGGACCUCAUCCUUGCAUAGGUAUGUAUUUAGAGGGAUUAGGUAUAAUUGACUGCCUCUGUUGACUGCUACAUGACCUAGUGAAUAGAGUAAUAGGCCUGAAGUCAGGAAUAUCUGAGUUCAAAUCCAACCCCAAGAUACUUACUAGAUAUGUGACUAUGAGUCAGAAAGACUAUGGAUAACAUUCUUUGUCUACUUCAAUUUCCUCAAUUAUAAAAUGGAAAUAAUAAUAACUAUAUCC
Long non-coding RNA from Sarcophilus harrisii (Tasmanian devil), 3824 nucleotides. RefSeq lists it as uncharacterized. Lineage: Eukaryota; Metazoa; Chordata; Mammalia; Dasyuromorphia; Dasyuridae. The transcript has 3 exons. The record is from RefSeq and is a predicted model, not a curated record.